This 68-nucleotide non-coding RNA is filed under the name Ruminococcus sp. The record is from RNAcentral. Lineage: Bacteria; Bacillati; Bacillota; Clostridia; Eubacteriales; Oscillospiraceae.
UGCCGAAACCGAGCGUUAUGCUCGGUCUGUCGGGGACGGUCUCCCGACACUGAUGAUGGCAGACCUGA